CCCAAGGAACAACAGCCAUACAUUCAUUAGUUCCUUCUUCUUCCUCAACAAGUUCUAUAUUAGCAGUGCGGUUCAUCCAAGGAAACUGAUUCUUAAAUCCAGAAAAGAAGUUGGAAUCCACAGAGACAGAAAAAUUAGAAGACGAAUGUAGGAGAGGAUUAGUAUGAACAGGCUUGAACACAACAAUAGCCUUCUCUUGGUUCAAUCCUGAACUCAAAUCCUUCGCUUCCCCUUCAACACCGCUAGUAACACCGACCAUCGGAUGAAUAUCCGCCUCUUCUUCCUCCAUUAUCGGCGGUAAUUCCGAGUCCAGCCGGCGAAUCUUUCGAGCAGGGGAAGAAAGAGAGAAAUCGGAGAAGUCAUCACUAACGUCGUCAAGCUCCUUUCUCUUCAUCUUGAUGGACGGGAAGUAUCCUCCAGCCAUUAUUUUCCAAUGAGUUUUGAUCUUCUUCAAAAAUCAGAGAAGCAAAGCAGAGAAGCUACGAGAGAUACGAUUGAUAAUCCUGAGGGCACCGAUUUGCCGAAAGCUUGGAACUUAUAGAAAGAGUUAGAGAUAUUUCUCUGGAGAAAUCGAGAACC
This 579-nucleotide unclassified non-coding RNA is filed under the name Hevea brasiliensis (rubber tree). Lineage: Eukaryota; Viridiplantae; Streptophyta; Magnoliopsida; Malpighiales; Euphorbiaceae. The record is from RNAcentral.